This 1801-nucleotide long non-coding RNA is filed under the name Homo sapiens (human). Its description in RNAcentral is "non-protein coding lnc-VN1R4-2:1". The record is from RNAcentral. Lineage: Eukaryota; Metazoa; Chordata; Mammalia; Primates; Hominidae.
GUUGCUUGCAUUAACUCACAUAAAUCAGUGAAUAUGUACACCUCUUUUCUGCCAUUUUGUGUGAAAAUAAGAAAUUUUCCUGUGUCCACUUGGUGAAGUGUGUUUUUAUUUCAGGGACUGUUUACAUUCAAGGAUGUGGCCAUAGAAUUCUCUCAAGAGGAGUGGGAGUGCCUGGACCCUGCCCAGAGGGCCUUGUACAGGGACGUGAUGUUGGAGAACUACAGGAACCUGCUUUCUCUCGAUGAGGAUAACAUCCCUCCAGAAGAUGGUAACCACCCUUGUACAUCUUUACAUUUUUCCUUGUGAGUCUCUUGGGAGGCCCUGAUGUGCUUGUCUGAAUCCGAUCCCUGUUCUAAAAGGGGAGAUUGAAACUUUUUGAUUGAGAGUGGAAAGGCUUCAUAAUGUAGCAUAUAGACUUUAAACUUCCCCUUUCUUCAGAAGUUCUGCGCAUAAUCAGGUUUGACGAGUGGUGGUUCCAGAAUAUCAGUACUUACAAAACCUUAUGGAAAACGUUUUAAAGUGUCUGGUAUCAUGGUUUUAUCCCUGUGCCUUUGAUUCAGUAGUUUUUUCAGAGUCUGCAUAUUUAAAAUAAUCCCUAAGCAUUCAGAAGAAGGCAGUCCGUUGACUAAUUUAUGAAAUUGUUUUGGGAAAUAGUUUUGCAGACCCAUGUGUAAUGUCCUCUCUUCGUAGCUGAACAAAGGGCUGGGAAUGUAUCCAGGAAAAGCACAGCAUACCAUGUUCCUUUUUUUCUUUAUAAGUUGAAAUCUUUCCUGAGCUGAAUAUUGUGUUCAUUUUGGAGCACAGGAAAGAGUCCUAGACUAUGGAAAGUGAAGUGAAAAUAGGGAAAAAAUCAGGUAGGUCGGAAUGUGAGCACAAAUAAGCGCUCAGAUGGCCACAGAGUAAGCUACUCCAUUGAGUAUUGUUUGGGAAACUCUGCAAAUGGGAAAGAUCAGUGGGAAAACAAAAGUUUAUUUCUUAUGAGCUCUCAAAGCAAGGUCCACACCCGCUCCUACUGUCCCCCAACAUACUGUUAUUCAAAUGUGUAAAAGGUUGAACUCCCACUCUCCCGUGAUGCCCCAACUCAUACAGACACAAAAGCAAAGGUGCUAUCAUGACCUACAAUACUGUUUGGCCCCUCUGACCAUUUUGGUCUCUUGGUUUUGAGAGGGACCGAAAUGGCUGUUUUUAAGGACUCUCUUUUAGUGUAUAUAAUUUCAUCUGAUGUGUGGUUUUCAGUCUAUACAGAUCAGAGCUGGGGCCUUUGUAGCCCUGGCUCCAGAACCUAUUCAAUUUCUAUUCCUAUUUCUUAUACCUGCAAGAACUUUUCAGGAAAAUGGGAAAACAGUGGCUCCCCCAAAAUGUAUCUGGGGUUCCCUGAAAUUUGAAAGACUGUCGGUCUCUCUACUUGUUCAAGCCCCUUGGCCAUUCCUUCAGUUCUGCUUUUGCCACAUGUGUCUAAAGGGGAAUGGGCAGGCUUUUGAGAUUGUUACUCAGCAUUAAUGUAAAGACUUGACAGAGAGAUCCUCUUUUUGAUUGCCAUUCCAAAAUGGGAAUAUAUCUCAUUCUUUUAGGUUCUCACCUUGCAGCCUGUGGACAGAGCACACUGCCUCUUCCUUAGAAUCCUACAAAAUCCGACCCUUUUAUUUUACUCCCGUACCUUUUAUUUCUCUCCCUUUUCUAGCUUUCUACUCUAUCCGGGAACUUAGGGAGACCUUAGUCUUCCUGAUUCCAUAUUCUUCUAAGAUUUGCCUCUGAAAGUUGCUUUUGAAAUACACAUUCCGGAUGGGCGUGGUGCCUCACG